GUCCAGUUAGCCUAGUGGUUAAGGCUAAGGAUCGCCAAUCCGGAGACGGCGGGUUCAAUUCCCGUUCCGGUCG
Molecule: non-coding RNA, 73 nt
Organism: Aedes albopictus (Asian tiger mosquito)
Lineage: Eukaryota; Metazoa; Arthropoda; Insecta; Diptera; Culicidae
Source: Rfam